GGCCACAUCACAUUAAAACUCUGGUUCUCGUAUGAUCACUGAAGUUAAGCAAUGUUGAGCCUGGUCAGCACCUAGAUGGGUGACCACUUAGGAAUACCAGU
Acanthosepion pharaonis is the source of this 101-nucleotide non-coding RNA. NCBI's taxonomy places the organism in Eukaryota, Metazoa, Mollusca, Cephalopoda, Sepiida, Sepiidae. The record is from the annotation of a GenBank genome assembly.